Molecule: ribosomal RNA, 1100 nt
Filed under: uncultured bacterium
Lineage: Bacteria
Description: bacterial SSU rRNA
Rfam family: Bacterial small subunit ribosomal RNA
Source: RNAcentral
AGAGUUUGAUCAUGGCUCAGAUUGAACGCUGGCGGCAGGCCUAACACAUGCAAGUCGAGCGGUAACAGGGGUAGCUUGCUACCCGCUGACGAGCGGCGGACGGGUGAGUAAUGCAUAGGAAUCUGCCCGGUAGUGGGGGAUAACCUGGGGAAACCCAGGCUAAUACCGCAUACGUCCUACGGGAGAAAGGGGGCUCCGGCUCCCGCUAUUGGAUGAGCCUAUGUCGGAUUAGCUAGUUGGUGAGGUAAUGGCUCACCAAGGCGACGAUCCGUAGCUGGUCUGAGAGGAUGAUCAGCCACAUCGGGACUGAGACACGGCCCGAACUCCUACGGGAGGCAGCAGUGGGGAAUAUUGGACAAUGGGCGAAAGCCUGAUCCAGCCAUGCCGCGUGUGUGAAGAAGGCCCUCGGGUUGUAAAGCACUUUCAGCGAGGAAGAACGCCUAGUGGUUAAUACCCAUUAGGAAAGACAUCACUCGCAGAAGAAGCACCGGCUAACUCCGCGCCAGCAGCCGCGGUAAUACGGAGGGUGCAAGCGUUAAUCGGAAUUACUGGGCGUAAAGCGCGCGUAGGUGGCUUGAUAAGCCGGUUGUGAAAGCCCCGGGCUCAACCUGGGAACGGCAUCCGGAACUGUCAAGCUAGAGUGCAGGAGAGGAAGGUAGAAUUCCCGGUGUAGCGGUGAAAUGCGUAGAGAUCGGGAGGAAUACCAGUGGCGAAGGCGGCCUUCUGGACUGACACUGACACUGAGGUGCGAAAGCGUGGGUAGCAAACAGGAUUAGAUACCCUGGUAGUCCACGCCGUAAACGAUGUCGACCAGCCGUUGGGUGCCUAGCGCACUUUGUGGCGAAGUUAACGCGAUAAGUCGACCGCCUGGGGAGUACGGCCGCAAGGUUAAAACUCAAAUGAAUUGACGGGGGCCCGCACAAGCGGUGGAGCAUGUGGUUUAAUUCGAUGCAACGCGAAGAACCUUACCUACUCUUGACAUCCUGCGAACUUGUGAGAGAUCACUUGGUGGCCUUCCGGAAAACCAAAAACAAGUGGUUGCUUGGGUUGUCUCCACCUCCCGUUUGUGAAAAAGUUGGGGUUAAUUCCCCCUACCAAAG